GGUCUCUUAGUAUAUUUUAAUACGUUUGAUUUCCAAUCUUAAAAAUAUGAGAUUA
Molecule: transfer RNA, 55 nt
Filed under: Strongyloides ratti
Lineage: Eukaryota; Metazoa; Nematoda; Chromadorea; Rhabditida; Strongyloididae
Description: tRNA SRAE_M000000031
Source: RNAcentral